Nomia melanderi (Alkali bee) is the source of this 800-nucleotide long non-coding RNA. RefSeq lists it as uncharacterized. The record is from RefSeq and is a predicted model, not a curated record. Lineage: Eukaryota; Metazoa; Arthropoda; Insecta; Hymenoptera; Halictidae.
GGAACAGAAAACGUUGGAACUAAAAGAACGAAGGCACAAAAUCGAUUAUUGGAUGAACUCACUGCCGCUACCGACUCAAACUAACGCUAUUCAAAGACUGCGCAUCGAUAUAUUUCCAGUGAUACAGUGCUGUCUCACUGAUCAAGCUUAUAAAUUCAUUUUUAGAUACUAAUGUCUCUAGUAUAAUCUGAAGAAUUUGCUGAAACAAAACUGCACAUAAAUGUAUCGAUAUUAUAUACAUUAUAAUAUAUAGAUUACUUUAAAUUGUUUAACAACUUGAUGCACAGUGAAUGUGUUGGAAACAUUUACGAUAAAAUAAAAUUUACGUUCUCUUCACAAUAUAGGAAAUUAAUAUUCAAGCACUUUUAAGGUUUAAUAUUUUUAAAAUUUUAUAAAAUCAAUUCAAUUUUAUUCAACGUUUUCUGAUGGACACAACUGAUUUAUGCAGGGAAUGCACACAGGGGGAACAUGUAAUGUUUAACUCGCAUAUAAUGAAAAUGAUAUUCGAUGAUAUGUAUCAACCUCAAAUGAAAAAAACAAUUUCAAUUGGAAACAAUUCAAGACUCGAACAAUAUUUUUCAAUAAUACCACGGCCAGAAAUAUUGAUAAGCUGGAAAGCCAUUUCGAUUCGUAACUCGUCGCUUGAAUCUUUCAAGUUUAUUGGCAUAACAAUGGGUAUUUCACGGCAGCUGACAAUUGCAUAAUGUUGUGACUUAUGAACUAAUUUACAUCUUAAUCCGAGCGUCCAUUGUUCAAUGCUAUUGUAGCUCAAGAGCUUACUGUGUUUAGGGCGGCAAACU